UAGGUGAACCUGCGGAAGGAUCAU
RNAcentral lists this non-coding RNA (24 nucleotides) under Pichia membranifaciens. RNAcentral also lists the same sequence under 13 other names. Lineage: Eukaryota; Fungi; Ascomycota; Pichiomycetes; Pichiales; Pichiaceae. The record is from RNAcentral.